CAUGAUAUAGGUCAACUAUAUUUGGUCUUUGGAAUGAAUACAAGUUGUACAUGUCUGACUGUCCCAAAGGACUAAGUGAACUUUUCUCUUCAUUUGGUGUCUGUCGUCUGUCAGAGUCCAUUGUUUACUCUUACAAAAUCAUUUCUUCUGAAACUACUUGGCCGAAUAGAACCAAUCCUAAGGGAACUACCAUUUGAUUUUUAUGGGGGGGCUAGGAUGAAAUUUGAAAAAAAUAGGCAGGACAGGAGUUUUGAGUAAAAAAAAAAGGCAGGAUGAGACAAUUGCCAAAAAAAAAAGUCAGGAUAAACUAAAAAAAAAAAAAGCAGGACCAAACAGAGUGAAAAAUAAAAAGGCAGGACAGAGAUUACAGCUAAAAAAAAAUGCAGGACCAAAUUUUUCAUCCUAGCCCCCCCCCCCCCCCCCAUAAAAAUCAAAUGGUAGCUCCCUAAACAAAAUCAUCAUUGUCUAGAUUGAAAAAUAUAGGUAUCUUAUGACCCACCUGUCAACCGACAUGGCUAAAAAAAAGAACAUAGGGCCCCAUAAAAUAAUACAUGUGUUAACACUAAUGUGCUGGGGGAAAAAAGGGUAGGUAGGCAAUAUCAUUUUAUUCUACAAACACUUUUAAACUGGUUACUACUGGGGGGAAAAUGCCAUAGACA
This 659-nucleotide long non-coding RNA is filed under the name Mytilus galloprovincialis (Mediterranean mussel). Lineage: Eukaryota; Metazoa; Mollusca; Bivalvia; Mytilida; Mytilidae. The record is from RNAcentral.